GAUGAACGCUAGCGGCAGGCCUAAUACAUGCAAGUCGAGGGGUAUGGGUUGCUUGCCACCCCGAGACCGGCGCACGGGUGCGUAACGCGUAUGCAAUCUACCUUAAUCAGGGGGAUAGCCCGGAGAAAUCCGGAUUAACACCGCAUAACAUUGAGUUGUGGCAUCACAGUUCAAUCAAAUAUUUAUAGGAUUAAGAUGAGCAUGCGUGACAUUAGUUAGUUGGUGAGGUAACGACUCACCAAGACCACGAUGUUUAGGGGAUCUGAGAGGAUGACCCCCCACAAUGGUACUGCGACACGGACCAGACUGGUACGGGAGGGAGCAGUAAGGAAGACAAGUCAAGGGGCGCAAGCCUGAACCAGCCAUGCCGCGUGCAGGAAGACUGCCCUAGGGGUUGUAAACUGCUUUUGAACCGGAAUAAUCCUUCUCUAGCGAGAGAAGCUGAACUUACGGUAAGAAUAAGGAUCGGCUAACUCCGUG
RNAcentral lists this ribosomal RNA (480 nucleotides) under uncultured bacterium. RNAcentral's name for it is "partial 16S ribosomal RNA". It matches the Rfam family "Bacterial small subunit ribosomal RNA", at positions 28 to 507 of the family's 1533-position model. The record is from RNAcentral.